GAUGAAGAACGUAGCGAAAUGCGAUAACUAAUGUGAAUUGCAGAAUUCCGUGAAUCAUUGAGUCUUUGAACGCACAUUGCGCCCCCUGGCAUUCCGGGGGGCAUGCCUGUCCGAGCGUCAUUUCUGCCCUCCAGCCCGGCUGGGUGUUGGGCGCUGUCCCCCCGGGGACACGCCCCAAAGGCAGUGGCGGCGCCGCGUCGGGUCCUCGAGCGUAUGGGGCUUUGUCACCCGCUCGGGACGGACUCGUCGGCGCUGGUCUUCCUCCAGGCGACCCUUCGGGGCUCGUCUUCCUUCGGUUGACCUCGGAUCAGGUAGGGUUACCCGCUGAACUUAAGCAUAUCAAUAAGCGGAGGA
This 354-nucleotide unclassified non-coding RNA is filed under the name soil metagenome. RNAcentral describes it as "partial contains 5.8S ribosomal RNA, internal transcribed spacer 2, and large subunit ribosomal RNA". The stretch from base 1 to 120 matches the Rfam family "5.8S ribosomal RNA", at positions 35 to 154 of the family's 154-position model. The record is from RNAcentral.